GAUGAACGCUGGCGGCGUGCCUAAUACAUGCAAGUCGAGCGAACGGACGAGAAGCUUGCUUUUCUGAUGUUAGCGGCGGACGGGUGAGUAACACGUGGAUAACCUACCUAUAAGACUGGGAUAACUUCGGGAAACCGGAGCUAAUACCGGAUAAUAUUUUGAACCGCAUGGUUCAAAAGUGAAAGACGGUCUUGCUGUCACUUAUAGAUGGAUCCGCGCUUGAUUAGCUAGUUGGUAAGGUAACGGCUUACCAAGGGAACGAUGCAUAGCCGACGUGAGAGGGGGAUCGGCCACCUGGGAGGUGGGACACGGUCCAGGCUCCUACGGGAGGCAGCAGUAGCGAAUCUUCCGCAGUGGGCGAAAGCCUGACGGAGCAACGCCGCGUGAGUGAUGAAGGUCUUCGGAUCGUAAAACUCUGUUAUUAGGGAAAAACAUAUGUGUAAGUAACUGUGCACAGCUUGACGGUACCUAAUCAGAAAGCCACGGCUAACUACGUG
Molecule: ribosomal RNA, 497 nt
Filed under: uncultured bacterium
Lineage: Bacteria
Description: partial 16S ribosomal RNA
Rfam family: Bacterial small subunit ribosomal RNA
Source: RNAcentral